UACCUGCAGCUCGAGUGGUAACCGCUAUUAUUGGGCCUAAAGCGUCCGUAGCCGGUUUGGUAAAUAUCUGGGUAAAUCGUGAGGCUUAACUUCACGAAUUUCGGAUAGACUGCCAGACUUGGGAUCGGGGGAGGUCAGAGGUACUCCAGGGGUAGCGGUGAAAUGUUGUAAUCCUUGGAGGACCACCGGUAGCGAAGGCGUCUGACUAGAACGAGUCCGACGGUGAGGGACGAAGCCCUGGGGCGCAAACCGGAUUAGAUACCCGGGUAGUCCAGGGUGUAAACAAUGUGGGCUUUGUAUUGGAGAUCCCACGUGGGUGUCCAGUGCAGAAGAGAAGUUGUUAAGCCCACCGCCUGGGAAGUACGGUCGCAAGGCUGAAACUUAAAGGAAUCGGCGGGGGAGCACAGCAACGGGAGGAGCGUGCGGUUU
Molecule: ribosomal RNA, 429 nt
Filed under: uncultured archaeon
Lineage: Archaea
Description: bacterial SSU rRNA
Rfam family: Archaeal small subunit ribosomal RNA
Source: RNAcentral